This 64-nucleotide transfer RNA is filed under the name Hypsicera sp. ZJUH_2016019. RNAcentral describes it as "tRNA-Ile". Lineage: Eukaryota; Metazoa; Arthropoda; Insecta; Hymenoptera; Ichneumonidae. The record is from RNAcentral.
AGUAAAGUGCCUGAAAAAAGGGUUAUUUUGAUAGAGUAAAUUAUGUAAUUAUAUACCUUUAUUA